UACGUAGGGGGCAAGCGUUGUCCGGAUUUACUGGGCGUAAAGCGCGUGUAGGCGGAAGCGAAAGUCCGGUGUGAAAGCCCCCCGCUCAACGGGGGAAGGUCGCUGGAAACUGCGCUUCUUGAGGGCGGCAGAGGGAAGUGGAAUUGCUGGUGUAGCGGUGAAAUGCGUAGAGAUCAGCAGGAACACCGGUGGCGAAGGCGACGUCCUGGACCGGCAUUGACGCUGAGGCGCGAAAGCCAGGGGAGCAAACGGG
Molecule: ribosomal RNA, 253 nt
Filed under: uncultured bacterium
Lineage: Bacteria
Description: partial 16S ribosomal RNA
Rfam family: Bacterial small subunit ribosomal RNA
Source: RNAcentral